ACACGGCUGCAGUGACUUGCCCAAGGACACUGCCGGGGCUUGAGUGUUGGAGGACUUGAGCCUUAGAGUGUUGAAGAUGGGAGUUUGAGAACUAGCUCUGCCAUGAGCUGUGACACAGUGGCCAUUAUCUUGUUGCGCCUUGAGUACAUUAUCCCUAAAAUGGGAUAAUUGCUCUCCUGCCUGUAUUAUGUGAUUAUUGAAGAACUGAGUGAAGAAACAGCUAUUCUAGCAAAUAUUUACUGAGCGCUUAUUUUCCAAAUGUUCUAAUCCUUCACGCAACCCAAACGCUUCUCACAGCAGUCCUGCCGAUUAGGCGGAGUUUCACCACGUCUCAAACUCCUGGCUUGUCUCAAACUCCUAACCUCAGGUGAUCCGCCCGCCUAUUUGACGAUAAAGUUUGCUGAUCCUGCCCUAGACUGUAAGCUCCAGGAGAGCAGAGACCGCGUCUCUUUCAUCUACUCUGCAUCUCAAUACCUGACUUGGUGCCUGGCUUGAAGUCAGUCAUGAACAGAGGGGAUGCCACCAUUACGAUGUGUUUCUUUAUUUGAAUGAAGACGCAAGACUGUUGUAGAAAAAGAGGCCAAAUGACUGCACUUACCUGCUAAGGACAAAGUGGGAGCCUCUAUCAUGAAGGGCACCAGGUCCAUGGAUAUUUGAAAUGGCCUUGAAAAAUAUGGGAACUGUAUGGAGCAUCUGGAAAGCAUCUGUGGAAGAAUUACAGCAAAAACUUCUACAAUUCAAG
RNAcentral lists this long non-coding RNA (742 nucleotides) under Homo sapiens (human). RNAcentral's name for it is "long non-coding RNA NONHSAT181335.1". The record is from RNAcentral. Lineage: Eukaryota; Metazoa; Chordata; Mammalia; Primates; Hominidae.